Bos taurus (domestic cattle) is the source of this 1375-nucleotide long non-coding RNA. NCBI's taxonomy places the organism in Eukaryota, Metazoa, Chordata, Mammalia, Artiodactyla, Bovidae. The record is from Ensembl.
GGUCAAGUCUUUUCUGGCUCUUAAAAGUCUUACUCAGCUCACAUCUGAAACCGUGUGAUAAUUAGGCACUAGGGGAGGGGAAGGAGAGGACCACUUGGAAGAUACAGUCUGACUCGUGUUCAGUUUACAGUCAGGCAUUGGAGGGGAAUCUGAUGGCCACCAAACAACUACCAUGUGUAAAACACCAUGUUAGAUUCUCAAUAUCCUUACUCUUGUUUUAACCAUGGCCUCGGUCCUGCGAAGUGCUGGAAGGUAAUGACCACUCCCUGGCACAUUUCCAAGCCCAGAACCAGCUGAAAAAUCUAUACAAAAGUCAAACAGAGAGAGAUCAAAUGCUCAGAUUUACUGCUGACGCAGCUGGAUUGGAGAAAACACUAGUGUGACCAGAAUCAAGCUUCCUAUAACUAUCCCCCUUCCCUAACUCCCUUGUAAGGUACCUUCUACAACAAGGCAGGUAAGGAACACAUGUGUCCUUUAUACAAGCAGAUGCCAAAGUGAACUCCUGGACCUCUGGGAUAGCCCUUCACUCACACUCAGCAAGCAGGCUCCAAGAGAAGAAGGGGACAGGCCAUCACCAUGAAGAAGCCAGAGGAAGGGAAUGGGGGGUACUGAUGAAACACUGGACUUGAUAAUUAAGACCCCCUUCUAUCUAUUCUCUCUCUCUAUGAAAAAGCGCUUUUAAGCAUCACACCAAUUUGGUCCUGGAAUUUGGUCAAUCUGGCCUUUUCCAUCAGAAUAUGCUCUACAGAAGGAAAAAGCCUCAAAGGACCCUCCUGGCAUGAAUGCCCUGCUGCUCCCCUUCACUAGACCAGGGCCAAGAUUCCUAUCGAGGUAACUAGAGAUGAAGAAGGGAACACACCAGGCCCUUGAUAUUUCUGAGCCUCCGGAAAAGCCAAUCCCCCAGGACUCCCUGCAGGCCAGGGGAAAGAGAAACCCUUUGAGGCUCAGCUUGAAUCCGCGAGCCUUUCAGAACACUGAGAAAGCUAAACACAGCAGUUCCAUGACUACUCAUUUGGAAAGAGCCCAUCUUUUUCAAAACGUGGGUCUUAAAAGUGGAUCAUCUAUUUUUGCUUUUGUCGCUUUGGCUUUUGGUGUCAAAUCCAAAAAUUCGUUGCCAAGUCUGAUGUCAAGGAGCUUAACCCUUAUGUUUUCUCCCAGGAGUUUUCUGAUUUCAGGUUUUACAUUCAAGUCUAUCCAUUUUGAGUCCAUUUUUUGUAUGGUGUAAGAUAGGGAUCUGAUUUCAUUCUUUUGUGUGCGGCUGUCUGCAAACAGGAUGGGGAAGAGAUAUCUGUACUCCAAUGUUCACUCAGUAUUAUUCACCAUAGCUAAGAUGUGGAAAAGACUUACAUGUCCGUGAACAGAUGAACAAAUAAAG